Passer montanus (Eurasian tree sparrow) is the source of this 1124-nucleotide long non-coding RNA. RefSeq lists it as uncharacterized. The record is from RefSeq and is a predicted model, not a curated record. Lineage: Eukaryota; Metazoa; Chordata; Aves; Passeriformes; Passeridae. The transcript has 3 exons.
UCAAGAACCGUGAGCAGGACUGAAGUAAAGCAAGUCACAGGAAAAUACCCUCAAUGUCAGUGCAGGAUGUUACAUAGCUUUCAUGGCACGUCAAAAUUGGUUUGAAUCUCAAAAUUCUGACCCCUCAACUUGGAGUCAAAAUGCUCAAGUCAAAUGGGUCUUCCUGUGCCUUUCCACAGGACAGCCUGUGUUGUGGAAAUGGAAGAAGGCAUAUUUAUGGAAGAAGCUGACAUCUGCAAGAGCCUUGGGUCAGAUGGAACCUUGCAUAAAAAGAGAAAAUAAGCAAAAUUUAUUGGAAAGGAAACCAGGUCUUUUACUGCUUUUAGCUUGGUCCCUGCUUCCAUUUCCCUCCUACUUGAGAUGCUUUGCAAAAAUAUGGGCAACUCCAUGAAAUCUGAGGCAACCCUGUGCUGGUAACCUAAACCAGUGGGAGGCUGAAGGUAAUUAUUCCAUGGCCUUAGAAUGCAAAAAUCUGCGUUCAUCGACUCUUUGCUCUCACACGAUGCUCAUCUUGGUUAUCCUCCAGUCCAUCCGAUUGUGAAACGUGGAAGAAUCAGCUUAGAAGGGAGCCUGAGUUGAAAGGCUCCAUGUAAAUGAAAAUUUAAUUAUUAUGAAACCACCUCAAAGAGUACACCCUCAUUUCACCUGUCCUAUUUUGCCUGUACCUCAGCCUGAGAAAGCUGGCAGAAUGAAGAGCACUUGUUGGGGGAAUACAGGAUUUGGGCUGAGGGCCCUGCUGAGUGCCAGGCAGCAUGUACUCACAGUAAGCGUGCCAGCCAGACCUCCACACAUCCUGUAUCCAGUGCUGACCUUUCCUGUCAUUCCUCCCUCCUUGCGAGCAAAGGCCACGUGCUUUCAGCUUCUUAAAAGCUGUUCCUGCUUCUGCUCACAGCCACAAUAUGUGGUGGGGGGAGUAAACAAGAAAAGGAUGUGGCUGGCAGAUUUGUAGUUUGGAAGGGUACAGGAAAGUGGGAUGCCUUGAUUUCCUUUGCAUUGCCAAAAAACUGAAAAUCCCCAAGUUUAAGCCUCCUCAGCUUUAGGCUUUAGCCACUCUUUUCUUUUCUUUUCUUUUCUUUUCUUUUCUUUUCUUUUCUUUUCUUUUCUUUUCUUUUCUUUUCUUUUCU